UUUUUUUUUUUUUUUUUUUUUUGGUUCAGGCAUUUAAUUACAAAAAAGAACAAAAAAUUUAUUUAACAAUACAAAUAUCACUAAAAAUCUUAAAUUACACACUUAAAUAUUACAAAAUGUGAUGUCUUACAUUAGGUACAAAAAUCUCGUGGUAACGCUAAUCUAUUACGGGAAUACCAUCACAGCCUAUAGUCGUUAUUAUUACAACAACCUCAUCGUUUCAGAGAAGUUUUAAAAAAUUUAUUAUAUAGUAAAAAAAUCGUAUUUAAUAUAAUUGUAAAAAAAAUUAUAAUCAUUAUAAGGGUUUAUUAUUAUUUUUAUUUGAGGCGUUUAUUUAUUUAUUUCAUAAGUAAAUUUUGAGCCUGUCUCCUUUUGAAGAUUCAAAACGAUAUAUCAUGUGACAAUUUUGGUAUUCUGCUAAUUCGAUGGUGUCAUAAUGUAAUCAUGGGAAAAAAUUGAUCUAGAUUACCAACACAAUUGUAACCUAGUGAACACAUAACAUCAAUUUACGUAAAUGUGACAUAAAUAUAGGUACAUAAGUACAUAUUAAAGAAAAAAAAAAAAAAACAAAAUCAGCAGCGUAGCGAGAGGCGUAGCCAUUGGUCUGUAAAACAAAAAAUUGCGGUUUUCGAACGAGGAGGGCGCUAAAAAGGUGUUGUGCCCCGGGCGCGAAUUAAUCUCGCUACGUCACUGUAUAAAAUAAAGUUGUGACAGGAGUAUUGAGAUUAUAGAUAGUAGAGUAAAAAUGAAUGACAAAACGAAUAGUUUUAUGAUUAUAGGAACUGAGCUUUAAUAGAUAGAGCACCGCAAAAGUGUUUAAUUUUAAUUUACUUCUUUGCGCCUAACAUUGAAGUGAAGUGUCGUAGCUACAUAAUUACGAGAAUAAAUAUUGGCUUCAGCCUAUUCAAGUCCACUGCUGGACGGAAUUAAGCGUCCUCAAGUUCACGCCAAACAAUUAUGAAAGAAAUAUUACAAUACAUUAAUUCUGUGAUGCUUUGUCGCAGUAGUUGACUUAUUCUAGUCUUCACAAACAUGAUUCUCGGUCAUGACAAUGUUUCUUUAGGGCUUAAGCAUAUUUAUCAAUGUCAAUCAAUAUUUGUUUGUAUUGUGUUGAUAAACUUGUAGCAGACAUUGCCCCACUGGGGGCAAAUAUGUGAGCAGCGCAUGUGAUGUUGAACGUGUAGUGUUUUAUGACGCAAAUAUUUGUUUUAAUAUAAAGUAAGGAUGCCUAAUACGAAUUGAGUUUUUCUAGCACAGAUGACUUUAAAGUCUCUUCUGAUCAUCGUCAUUGCUUCUGCUGUGUGGUUACGGCCGUAAAGAAUAUUAUAACCAUAGGUGGUAAUUCAUCU
RNAcentral lists this unclassified non-coding RNA (1349 nucleotides) under Melitaea cinxia (Glanville fritillary). RNAcentral's name for it is "misc RNA ENSMCXG00005005011.1". Lineage: Eukaryota; Metazoa; Arthropoda; Insecta; Lepidoptera; Nymphalidae. The record is from RNAcentral.